UCCCAUCCAGAGAAAAAGAGGCAGUGCCUUCUUUCCCAGGAGAAGUCAGGGAGCCAUUGACUUUCCUGAUUGUUGAGACUCCUUUCUAUUUGUUCUGUUUUGAUUUUUCGGUUUGAGAGACUCCUGAAAAUCCAGGCUUGGAACUGCUGUUCUAAUGUUGGCUGAACUAAGACAGGAUUUUCUAGGAAAAGGAGAGAUUUCAGCUCAUUUAAACGCUGUUAUUAGUUUGGUGCUUCCAAAGCAUAGACACAAUAAUGGUUUUGCACUUUUCAAGUAAAUUAAGACAAUGGCAUUUAACAGGUGUUUCAAGAGCAUUCUUCUUGUCCCAGAAGUUUUCAAGGUAAAACCAAACUUAUUUACUUAUUGACUUUAUCUUUUGAUGAAAAUGCAGCAUUCUGUACUUUCCUGUGACUCCAGAAGUUAGUAACUGCAUUUUUCUGUUAGGGAUAUCCAAAGAAAUAGUUAAUGUCUGUUCCUGCAUAUGGUACUGUUAAUUUGCUUGUUUGUGUGUCUGUCUGCUCUUUGCUUGUCUGCUUCUGUGUGUGAUAUUUUAUUGGAGCACACGAUUUGAAGAAGCUGGCUGCCUGCUGUGGUAUUUAUCCUAUAUAAAUUCUCCAUUAAAUGACAAAUUUUAGACCCAUCAGAGACAGAAGACUAAGUCCAUCCAUUGAAAUCCUAUUUGUAUUAUUACUUCCUAAUGAAUUCUGUAUUACAGCAGGUGUCAAAUCAUAUCUGUUGUUUUGCAAUCGAGUAUGAAUAGAAGAUGUAUUGCUAUUGCAAAUGAAUCUAAUAUGAAUCUAAUGAGCAGUAAUGAGCAACUGUUUUGUCAUUAUUGAGGCAACCACUGUGAUGCUAAUAAACUCUCGUUUCUGCUACUUAGAAAAAAGCACUGACCAGGAUUUAUAUUGUGGCCUUAAUGUCCCAAAAGCCUGAGGCAAAAGAGAAGAGUGGAACCCCUAAACUGAGCAUAAUUCAGUAAUUUUCUGUGUGGCAGACUUCUUAUUUUCUCUUAUUAAAUGAAACCUGGUUUAAGGCUUUCAAGCUUUCUUACAUUUGAAAGGAAAAAAAGAUGAAAAAUGAGUGUCUAUUAAAGAAACAUAAAGUUAAGAAGAUGGGCAUUCUGCCUUAAUUUUCUUUAACAUAAGUACACUAAUUCCAUACUUGUACACUUGUCAGUGCUUUUGUAAUGCUGAGGUGACUGUGUGCAAAGUUUUAAAAGCAAUCACUUCAAAAGUAACAAGCCAUUAAAUCAAUAUAUAGCUAUAAUAUGUUUGGUGGGGGAACUGUCUCAACUCUAUUUUAGUUGGAACUUCAUUUUUAGUUUUUUUUAAUUUAUUUUCAUUGUGUGUGGAUCAUAGGACUGCUGAAUAAACAGAAAUACCUUUGAUGCAAUAGAAACAAUAGCUUAUUCCAUAACUGAAAUAUAAACAAGUUCUGACUCCUG
Long non-coding RNA from Parus major (Great Tit), 1444 nucleotides. RefSeq lists it as uncharacterized. The transcript is spliced from 3 exons. The record is from RefSeq and is a predicted model, not a curated record. Lineage: Eukaryota; Metazoa; Chordata; Aves; Passeriformes; Paridae.